Molecule: long non-coding RNA, 2692 nt
Filed under: Daucus carota (carrot)
Lineage: Eukaryota; Viridiplantae; Streptophyta; Magnoliopsida; Apiales; Apiaceae
Description: long non-coding RNA (DCAR_LNC002942)
Source: RNAcentral
CUGGAUUUCAUACAACAGAACUUGUAUCAAGAUUAUGAAACAAUAAUAGAUAAUAACAUUUUAAUAUUUAAAUAGAGGCGACAACACAUAUUGUCACGUGAAAACAUUGAACGAAGUGUGUAUAAGUAGCUCUUAAAAACUUCAUAUCAUACUGCUGCAAUUGAGUAGAUAGAACCUUCUCCAGGAUGAGGAUGGAUGACAUCAGCACCAAAGAUAAUCGUAGGACGUUCGCGAAAAAGAGAAUGUGGAUGUAGACCCUGCACCUGAGGGUGUGGAGGAUGCUGAAGAACAUUUUGUCUGGCACCAGAAUCCUGGUGCUCUGAGUUCUCUCCCUCACCCGGAAGUUCAGUUAACCUCCUUUCUGCCCUGAUGAUAACUGUGUCCAGUGAAUACAUAUGGCAAAAUUAAAUUAUAGGGAUUACAAAAUGAUAAUGACAACAGUAAGACAAAGCACUAUUAGAUACAGCCAUACAGGUGAUAGCCGGCAAUAAUAUGAGAAAACACACGUAACUUGACAGAGCUUCCAAUAAAGUCAGCAAGCUAAUUAAAUACACAAAAACUAAAUAUUCUCCCUGCACGAGUAAUCAACUCUCAUUCAUAUGUAAGACAAGCAUAAGGAGCUUGCAACUCUAAUACGUAAACUGAACACCCAAACACACACAAGUUGUAUACACAAAAAGAUAGUUUUAAUAAUCAAACAUGUAUACAAUCCCUUGCACCAAUUUUAACACUAGAAUGUUUAAAACUUAACAGCUUCAAGAAUUAAAACAAUAAAUAGCAAUAAAUCAAGAUCAAAAUCAGAAAAUAUGUUUUACAUGCACUAACUUGACUAUCAAAAAUCCCUAACAUCAUAAUUUCAAACUUAUAUAUACAGAAAGAACAGCCAUAUAUGGAGUAUGGACAUUUAUUAAGACCCUCCUUAAAAUAUUAGUACACAAAAAACAAUGGCAAAAGAUACAUAUGUACAAUAAUAGAUAGAUAUAUGAGUAUUAAUGUGAGCCAUCAAAGUAAAGAAUUGGUUGUGCAAGUAGAUAUCCUAAACUUAAUACUUCCCUUCAACUUUAUAAAAAAAAAUAUGAAAAAAAUGGCCAAAUCGCAUUGAAGAGUAAAAAGAACAACAAAUUUAAAUUUUUAUAUAAUAAUUAAACGAAAACCUCAAAUCAAUACAGCUCUGAGCAAAUACACUAUAAAAAACAUACAAAUCAACUAGAUCUAGCUAAAAGAAAUACAAUCGGUAAAAAUUAACAAGAUACAACCGAAAACAAUGUAAAAUUUAUUUUAAAAAGGGAGCAUAACAGACCAGUAAUGUAAAUCUCAUAAAAUGAUUAAACUAAUACCUCAAAUCAAUACAGAUCUAAGCAAAUAAGCUGUGAUAAACCAAAAAAUCAACUAGCUCAUCCAACUAGACAUAUACAAUGGGUAAAAAUUAAUGAGAGUAACCGAAAACAACGUAAAAGCUGGUUAAAAAUUGGAGGAUGGGAAACCAGUAAAUGCACGUCGACCACUCGUUGAUGGAAAAAUACUAUAUCUACCAACCGCACUACAGAGCCGUACACCCGCCUAGUUAUUUUAUAACAUGUUUUAAUGUGUUUUUUAAUCAUAACUAAAACACAUUUAAACAUUCGUCUUAAAACAUAUCUCUCGGGCCUAUUUAUUUUUAAGUCUUUGAACGGGCCUAAUUAUCAAAAAUUAUUUAACAUGCCCAAUAAAAAUUCAUUAACCCGAAGAGGCCUAUUAUAAUUUAAUAAUCUUUUAGUUAAAAUAUGUAUAUUAUUCCAUAUAAAUGUAUCUUCAAAACAAAAUAAAAUAUUAUAACAUAUAUAACAAAAGAGAAAAUAAUUCAAGUCACCCGUGCAUCGUACGGGCUAUAAGCUAAUAUCUACGUGAAGUUGUAUUAUAUGUAGUACUAAUUAAAUUGUAGAGCCUCUAGAAUUAUCAACCACCAAAAUGGCUUGUUUGGGAACCUGGAUUUCAUUUGAUAUUUUGGAUUUGAUCAAAUAACCUGUUUGAGAAUUUGAAUUUGGAUUUCAUUUCACAUUCAAAUAUUAGUAUAAAUUUGAGAAAUUGAAAUUACAACUCAAAUCAUGUCAUUUGAAAUCCAUCGUUUCAAAUGAAAUGCAUGUUUCCAAACGGCCCCUAAGAUUAAUUAGAAAUGAGUGGCUUAGAUAUUAAAUAACUGAACGGCAAACUAGUAUAUAUUACUACAGUGGGACUGCUUGUGAUUAAAGUGAUGUUACAUGACAAAGUAGUUGGUUAAGUCUUGAUUUCGAGUAUAGCUUUGUGUAUUGCAAUUAAGCUUAUCAGAAUAGGUUGUCAGAAUAUGAUGAUGAUGGAUACUAGGCAGUAGAACGUAGUGUAUUUGUUUUGAGUAUAAUGAUAUUUGUGGGACUAGUUGUAGUAGAGAAUGUAAAGGACAAUGUCCCUAUGAAUGUAGCAAUACAGAAUCUUUGUAUACAACUCUAAGCACAUGGUACAGCACUAAAUUAGUCACAUGGCUAUGCUCAAAACUGGUACUUCAUUUUACAUAUGAAAUCAGUUGAUAUGGCAACUUAAAGCAUGCAACAGUUUUCAAAUAUUAGUGUACUACACACUAGAACAUAGAUUUAUCUAAAACAUUAGUGCCCAAUGGAAGGAUAGCCUACUAAAAGACUAGAAUUUGAACUGUCUAUAUUAAAAGAAACCACAGAGUUUG